This 193-nucleotide microRNA precursor is filed under the name Oryza brachyantha (malo sina). RNAcentral's name for it is "MIR812 microRNA precursor family". It matches the Rfam family "MIR812 microRNA precursor family". Lineage: Eukaryota; Viridiplantae; Streptophyta; Magnoliopsida; Poales; Poaceae. The record is from Rfam by way of RNAcentral.
AUUAAGUUCAUUUUUUAGUUUUUAGAUACAAUGUUUUGACUUUUUGUCUCAUUUAAUUUUUUACGAUUAAUAUUUUUGUUGUUACUAGACGGUAAACAUGAAUAGUACUUUAUGCAUGACUAAUUUUAUUUAAAAAUUCAAAUAAGAUGAAUGGUCAAAUGUUUGGACACAGAAAUAAAAAAAUACAGUUAUA